GCAGCNACGCCGCGUUGNGGGAUGACGGCCUUCGGGUUGUAAACCUCUUUCAGCAGGGACGAAGCUAACGUGACGGUACCUGCAGAAGAAGCGCCGGCUAACUACGUGCCAGCAGCCGCGGUAAUACGUAGGGCGCAAGCGUUGUCCGGAAUUAUUGGGCGUAAAGAGCUCGUAGGCGGUUUGUCGCGUCUGUCGUGAAAGCCCACGGCUUAACCGUGGGUCUGCGGUGGAUACGGGCAGACUAGAGGCAGGUAGGGGAGAAUGGAAUUCCCGGUGUAGCGGUGAAAUGCGCAGAUAUCGGGAGGAACACCGGUGGCGAAGGCGGUUCUCUGGGCCUGUACUGACGCUNAGGGGCGAAAGCGUGGGGAGCGAACAGGAUUAGAUACCCUGGUAGUCCACGCCGUAAACGUUGGGCGCUAGGUGUGGGGUUCUUCCACGGAUUCCGCGCCNUAGCUAACGCAUUAAGCGCCCCGCCUGGGGAGUACGGCCGCAAGGCUA
This 498-nucleotide ribosomal RNA is filed under the name uncultured bacterium. RNAcentral's name for it is "bacterial SSU rRNA". It matches the Rfam family "Bacterial small subunit ribosomal RNA", at positions 388 to 896 of the family's 1533-position model. The record is from RNAcentral.